RNAcentral lists this small RNA (350 nucleotides) under Arabidopsis thaliana (thale cress). Its description in RNAcentral is "ATSL106100". Lineage: Eukaryota; Viridiplantae; Streptophyta; Magnoliopsida; Brassicales; Brassicaceae. The record is from RNAcentral.
AAAUUUAGUGUUAUUCAAUUAAGAUUUUAAAUAUUUCAUUAAAAUCCAGUAUUAUUCAAAACAAAAAAACUUGUAAAAUCCUUGUAUAUUAGUUCAUUUGAAAUGAAAUCUCUUUGGAGUUUCAUGAGUAAAUCAUUAGAAUCAAUAUUCAAGACAUAUUGCAUAGAUUAUAUUGCAUAGAUUUUGAAAUUUAUACAAACAUAUUUUUAAAAGCAACAUCAGAAAACAAAUCUAAAGCUUAAAGAAUUGACUUUAACUCCAUAAUUGAAUAACACCACCUAAUAUUACAUGCUGUAGUUUUGGAUCUGGAAAAAUUACGGAUUUCGGCCUAGAACCUUCUUAUAUUAAAA